GAUGAAGAACGUAGCGAAAUGCGAUACUUGGUGUGAAUUGCAGAAUCCCGUGAACCAUCGAGUCUUUGAACGCAAGUUGCGCCCGAAGCCACUAGGCCGAGGGCACGCCUGCCUGGGCGUCACACGCCGUUGCCCCCCCAUCUACUCCUUCGGGAUUGCGGGGGGGCGGAUGAUGGCCUCCUGUGCGCCUAGCCGCGCGGUUGGCAUAAAUACCAAGUCCUCGGCGACGCACGCCACGACAAUCGGUGGUUGCGAAACCUCGGUUGCCCGUCGUGUGCGUUCGUCGCGCAUCGAGGGCUCGAAAAAAUGCUCGGCUCCGGCUGGGCUUUCAACGCGACCCCAGGUCAGGCGGGGUUACCCGCUGAAUUUAAGCAUAUCAAUAAGCGAGGA
This 390-nucleotide unclassified non-coding RNA is filed under the name soil metagenome. RNAcentral describes it as "partial contains 5.8S ribosomal RNA, internal transcribed spacer 2, and large subunit ribosomal RNA". The stretch from base 1 to 122 matches the Rfam family "5.8S ribosomal RNA", at positions 35 to 154 of the family's 154-position model. The record is from RNAcentral.